GACUCAGUGGUCCAAUGGUAAAGCGCUCGUCGCGGAGCCAGGGGGUCCUGAGUUCGAUCCUCGAUGGGGUCG
Molecule: transfer RNA, 72 nt
Filed under: Schistosoma japonicum
Lineage: Eukaryota; Metazoa; Platyhelminthes; Trematoda; Strigeidida; Schistosomatidae
Description: tRNA-Pro
Source: RNAcentral